GACGAACGCUGGCGGCGUGCUUAACACAUGCAAGUCGAACGGAAAGGCCCUGCUUGCAGGGUGCUCGAGUGGCGAACGGGUGAGUAACACGUGGGUGAUCUGCCCCUUACUUUGGGAUAAGCCUGGGAAACUGGGUCUAAUACUGGAUAGGACCAUGCUGUAGGUGGUGUGGUGGAAAGAUUUUUUCGGUAAGGGAUGAGCUCGCGGCCUAUCAGCUUGUUGGUGGGGUAAUGGCCUACCAAGGCGUCGACGGGUAGCCGGCCUGAGAGGGUGGACGGCCACAUUGGGACUGAGAUACGGCCCAGACUCCUACGGGAGGCAGCAGUGGGGAAUAUUGCACAAUGGGCGCAAGCCUGAUGCAGCGACGCCGCGUGGGGGAUGCCGGCCUUCGGGUUGUAAACUCCUUUCAGCCAUGACGAAGCCUCUUUUGGGGUGACGGUAGUGGUAGAAGAAGCACCGGCUAACUACGUG
Molecule: ribosomal RNA, 471 nt
Filed under: uncultured bacterium
Lineage: Bacteria
Description: partial 16S ribosomal RNA
Rfam family: Bacterial small subunit ribosomal RNA
Source: RNAcentral